RNA transcript from Selaginella moellendorffii, 3119 nucleotides. It is a transcript of the gene named CWF19-like protein 2, with no coding region annotated. The record is from RefSeq and is a predicted model, not a curated record. Lineage: Eukaryota; Viridiplantae; Streptophyta; Lycopodiopsida; Selaginellales; Selaginellaceae. The transcript has 8 exons.
UUGCCCAGAGAGGCACAGGAUGCUUGGCGCGGUGCGAUUCGUCUCCAGGGAUUCUGUCGCGUCGUCUUCAAAUGAUGUGGAUCGCGAGGGAAAGACGGCCGAUGCCGAUGAUCCAGAGAUGCUUGCCAAGCGGAAGAACGCUGGCUUGGAAUGGAUGUCAGUGGCGCCAAGCAGGCCUCAACGAGCCGUCCCCAAGGAAGAGAUUGCUCCUUCCAAGGCAGAGCGCGACGAGAAACCUCCCUCGAAUUCAAAGGAGCUCAAUCCACACUGGAAAGAUGGCGGCGAAGGAUUUCCAGAAGAAGAACAUGUAGCUCGACGAGUUCCCGGAGGUGUCGGCGAUGGGGGUGCUAGUUGGCUUCUCAAGGGAUUAAAGCGUGCUCAAGAGCGUGCGGCACGAGAAGGAGCGAGUCUUCCAGAUGUUAUCAGUGAUCGAUGGGGAUCGUUUGAUGCGUUCUCUCGCGUAAGUAACAAGCGAGCGGCACAUUCCAACGCACAUCUCCAUGCUAUUCGCGACAGAAAACGUAAGUACGAGCAGGAACAGGAGGCAGGACGCUCAGAGGAUGAGCCUGCGAAAGAAGAUUCUCGGUCUGCGAGGGAAGGUUCUCGGAUGAGAGCUCCGAGGGUGGAUGGAUCACUCAAAUGGAAGUCACAGAGGAGGGAUACCAUGCGCUCCGAGGACUCUGCAGUCCUCAAGGCCGCGGCAGCGUCUUACAACAUAUUUGAGAACGAUGGGAGCUUUAUGGAGAAGUUUAAACAGAUGCAGGAGAAGACGGAUAGAGACAAGCCGGAUCAAUCGAGUGGUGGUGGUGAUGAUGCUGUAAAGAACAAGGUCGCUACCAUUCAGAGACGUGUUCGCGAAAGCAAGGAUUCAAACUAUGACAGAUCAGGUCAUGAUGCGGCAAUCCAAGGACGUGCUCGCGAAAGCAAGGGACCAGAGGUCGAUCAACCGACAGCUGAUGAUGAUCCUGUGAAGAGGAAGAUAGCUGCAAUCCAGAGACGUGCGCAAAACAAAGAUUCCGAUGGUGACAAGGUUAAAACUUCGGCUGGCGGCGAUGAUGCGGCGAUGAAGAAAAUCACUGCCAUCCAGAGACAUGCUCAAGAAAACAAGGAUUCCGAUGCGUUCCUUGCGUCAAAGAUUUAUCGCUCGAGGGAGAGGUAUCAAGCCGACGAUGAGUACGACGACGUUGGAAUCGAAAGCGAUGCUUAUAAGAAAAAGUCGGCAAGGAAGGGAAUGACGAAGGCCAAGAACAGCGCGGUCUCUCAGUACAAUCGUAUUCAGACACAGAACGAGCGCUGCCGGUAUUGCUUUGAGAACUCGUCGAGGCCGAAACAUCUAACAAUCGCGAUUGGCAACUUCACGUACUUGAUGCUUCCUCCUACGUCUUCACUUGUACCGGGACAUUGCUACAUUGUUCCUUCGCAACACGAAGGCUCUACAAGGAACGUUGAUGACGAUGUUUGGGAUGAGAUUCGGAACUUCAAAAAGUGCCUGCUCAAGAUGUUCAAGGAGCAAGAGAAGGAUGUGAUAUUUCUAGAAACGGCCAUGAAUCUCUCGCAGCAACGUAGGCAUUGUCUGGUCGAAUGCAUCCCCGUUCCUCCCAACGUACUCCAGCAAGGUCCGCUUUACUUCAAAAAGGCAAUCGACGAGGCCGAAGAUGAAUGGAGCCAGCACAACGCGAAGAAGCUUAUAGACACCAGAGGCAAGGGGCUUCGCUCCUCCAUACCAAAGAACUUUCCGUACUUUCAUGUGGAGUUCGGGCUGGAAGGCGGCUAUUGCCAUGUGAUUGACAACGAAGAGGACUUCGACAGCAACUUUGGUCGGAACGUUCUCAUCGGCAUGCUCAAGCUUCCCCAGGAGACGAUGCACCAGAAGGCAAAGCACGCGUCAUUCGAUCAUCAAGCGACUGCUGUGAAAGAGUUCCUGCAGCAGUGGAGGCCUCACGAUUGGACGCAAAUGCUCCAGUGAGCAAUGGAACUUGUACUUGUAUGAUAGAGUCUAUUCUUCUUUCUUCAGCCGUUGUUGUUGCAAGGCGCCAGUGAAGAACACCGGCACGAGCGUGAAUGCAGCCUCUACAACAAUCCCCAGCGCCAAGUAGUCGAAGUUCUGUGAAGAAAUACCGAGUAGCGCAGCGAGAGCAACUCCAAAGUAUCCGCUCGCCAGGUUGGCCAGGCACAGGCAGGCCGAGAAGACAGCCAUGAGCGUCCCCUCGGCUCCCGGUGGACAAAUCUUUCCCAGCAACACCGCGAAGGGAAGAGCCUUGAACAGGCCUAUGGCUUCAACUAGUCCCGCGAACAAGAGCACGAAGUACUCGUCCGUCACGCCCAGCAGCCGCGAGUUGAGCCGCUUGACGAGGAGAACAUCGAGGAGCAUCGAGGAAGCUAGAACGAUCUGGAUGCUUGCGGCCAGCUUCGCGAGUGGAACGUCCUUGAGGUAGCUGUUGAAGGAUAUAGAAGCCAAAAGAAGCCCGAGCUGAGCCACGGCCUUGGAGAGGCCGAGGUAGAACGAGUCGACGCGGAGAACCUGGGUUUGAUAGUAGAAGACGCUGCCGAGCAACGAAGGGAUGAUGGUGACCGACAAGGUGAACCAGAGAAGUGGACGGAGUAUGUCCGGCCUUUUCACCAGCGACCUCCUGCGAUGCAACCACCGACUUCUCGCUGACGGAGUAUGAGACGGCAAAGUUGAGCGUCACCACCAUGAGGAACAUCGAGAAAAUGGUCGUGGUUUGGAGCUUACUCAGUGCUACCCCGGCCAGCAAGUUCCCCAGCGUUGCCCCCAGCGAAAAGGCGACCAUUGAGAAGGACUGGAGCUCACCUGGGGAGCUCCCCCGUCGCUUGCCACACUCGGCCACCAGAGCAUCGUUUGCGACCUCGCCAAUGGCGACGCCAAAGUUGCUGAGAGUGAGGUAGAGCGCGAGGAGGCCGAUCGAGUUGGCGACUUUGGGGAGAAACGCGAUACUUCCCCACGAGAGAAGUUGUAUCAGGCCUGCAAGGAGUGAAAGAAUGUAAGUUUUCUAAGAACAAUUGGUAACACCGACCAAGAAUCUAUCUAGAAGAAACUUGGAAGAAGAUCUAAGAACAGUACAUCAAAGAAAACGCGCAAGAGAAUCAAAGAAGACGUA